Molecule: ribosomal RNA, 623 nt
Filed under: uncultured fungus
Lineage: Eukaryota; Fungi
Description: eukaryotic LSU rRNA
Rfam family: 5.8S ribosomal RNA (bases 256-409)
Source: RNAcentral
AAGUCGUAACAAGGUUUCCGUAGGUGAACCUGCGGAAGGAUCAUUAAUAAAUACGUUGAUACACACCGUGUACACAUCGUCUUCAUUCACUCUGAGUACCUCUCCUGUUGCCUCCGUGUGGCUGGCUGCCUUACAGGUAUAGCUCCUUCCCUAUCUCGGAAUCGCGAUCCGGUAGGGGAGACCGCACGGGAGGGAAGCCCCCAACCUCUCUGUUUAUCAAUCGUUUCUGUCUGAACUGGUUAAAGGAAAUAUUAAAACUUUCAGCAACGGAUCUCUUGGUUCUCGCAUCGAUGAAGAACGCAGCGAAAUGCGAUAAGUAGUGUGAAUUGCAGAAUUCAGUGAAUCAUCGAAUCUUUGAACGCACAUUGCGCCUCGUGGUAUUCCACGGGGCAUGCCUGUUCGAGCGUCAUUAAGCACACACUCAGGCUUAUCUGCUUGGCGUUGGGGGACGAGGACCGUCAAAAGGUUCUCACCUCUGAAAUUGAAUGGCGGAUUACUGCACGAUCCUCGACGUUGUAAGGUAAAAGCCUCUCGUCUGGUCAGCGUGCGGUGUUCAGCCCAGCAACCCCCAAUAAUUAUUUCAGUUUGACCUCGGAUCAGGUAGGGAUACCCGCUGAACUUAA